RNAcentral lists this ribosomal RNA (253 nucleotides) under uncultured bacterium. Its description in RNAcentral is "partial 16S ribosomal RNA". It matches the Rfam family "Bacterial small subunit ribosomal RNA", at positions 524 to 776 of the family's 1533-position model. The record is from RNAcentral.
UACGGGGGGGGCAAGCGUUGUUCGGAAUUACUGGGCGUAAAGGGCGCGUAGGCGGCCUGCUAAGUCGGAUGUGAAAUCCCUCGGCUCAACCGAGGAACUGCAUCCGAUACUGGCGGGCUUGAAUCCGGGAGAGGGAUGUGGAAUUCCAGGUGUAGCGGUGAAAUGCGUAGAUAUCUGGAGGAACACCGGUGGCGAAGGCGGCAUCCUGGACCGGUAUUGACACUGAGGCGCGAAAGCCAGGGGAGCAAACGGG